UCUUGCAGUAGAAGCAGUGGCACACAUGGCAGCCAAGUGGAAUAUUCCAAUAAUAACCCCAGCUGGCUCUGCUGGAAUAUUGGCCGAUAAAGUGCAAUUCCCUACUCUUACCCGUUUGUCCUUCGGUAUGCAAGAAUACGCUGCCUUUUAUUUGGACUUAUUGAAGCUGUAUGGUUGGAACCAUGUGGCACUCUUUUAUGAGAGCGAUGACGUAUUCUCAGGAAUUAUUGGAAAUACAUUUUAUGAAAUAUUCCGAUCCACUCAAUUGUUAUUGGUCUACUACCAGAUUAAAGGAAGAACUUUUAAUGCAAAUGAUUAUAAAAAUAUUUUACAGAAAGGUCACGCUAAUGCAAGAGUCUUUAUUUUGUUGGCCUCGCCAAACACUGUCAGAAAAUUUCUUUCUGUGGCAUCCGCAUUGGAGUAUACAUUUGGAGAUCAUGUGAUUAUAGCAACCAUUCCUGUCAACACAAAUUUGGAUAUUUGGCAAAGAGGCGAUGCAGAAGAUGAGGUUGUUAAACAGGCUUGUCAAUGUACAAUGUUUAUUGCUCUAUCAGAAGACUUCAACUUGGAAUAUAUUACCUUUAAAAACGACAUCAAGACACGAGCCCUUACCGACUAUGGCUUCAAUUUUGGAAACGAAGAG
Long non-coding RNA from Patella vulgata (common limpet), 643 nucleotides. RefSeq lists it as uncharacterized. The record is from RefSeq and is a predicted model, not a curated record. Lineage: Eukaryota; Metazoa; Mollusca; Gastropoda; Patellidae. The transcript is spliced from 3 exons.